Molecule: non-coding RNA, 207 nt
Organism: Vicia faba (fava bean)
Lineage: Eukaryota; Viridiplantae; Streptophyta; Magnoliopsida; Fabales; Fabaceae
Source: the annotation of a GenBank genome assembly
AUGGUGCCAUCUCACAUAAAAAAAACAGAUGCGGCUUCUACAACAGAGAGAAUCCGAUCUAGUUUGGAUAAUUCUGAAUUGGAUUUACAGGCCAUUAGAAAUGCACGAUCGAGUAAACCAGGCUAUGAGGAAGAACUCCAUGUUCUUGAAGAUGCUAAAGGAAUUCCUUGUUUCAAAAACCAUAAUCUGCAGAAGACUAAUCACUAA